GCAUGGUUGUCGUCAGCUCGUGUCGUGAGAUGUUGGGUUAAGUCCCGCAACGAGCGCAACCCUUGAUUUUAGUUGCCAGCAUUUAGUUGGGCACUCUAAAGUGACUGCCGGUGCAAGCCGGAGGAAGGUGGGGAUGACGUCAAAUCAUCAUGCCCCUUAUGACCUGGGCUACACACGUGCUACAAUGGAUAGUACAAAGGGUCGCGAAGCCGCGAGGUGGAGCUAAUCCCAUAAAACUAUUCUCAGUUCGGAUUGUAGGCUGCAACUCGCCUACAUGAAGCCGGAAUCGCUAGUAAUCGUGGAUCAGCAUGCCACGGUGAAUACGUUCCCGGGCCUUGUACACACCGCCCGUCACACCACGAGAGUUUGUAACACCCGAAGUCGGUAGGGUAACCUUUAUGGAGCCAGCCGCCGAAGGUGGGACAGAUAAUUGGGGUGAAGUCGUAACAAGGUAGCCGUAUCGGAAGGUGCGGCUGGAUCACCUCCUUUCUAAGGAA
This 497-nucleotide ribosomal RNA is filed under the name Listeria monocytogenes. Its description in RNAcentral is "bacterial SSU rRNA". It matches the Rfam family "Bacterial small subunit ribosomal RNA", at positions 1043 to 1533 of the family's 1533-position model. Lineage: Bacteria; Bacillati; Bacillota; Bacilli; Caryophanales; Listeriaceae. The record is from RNAcentral.